RNAcentral lists this ribosomal RNA (257 nucleotides) under uncultured bacterium. RNAcentral's name for it is "partial 16S ribosomal RNA". It matches the Rfam family "Bacterial small subunit ribosomal RNA", at positions 524 to 776 of the family's 1533-position model. The record is from RNAcentral.
UACGUAGGGUGCAAGCGUUGUCCGGAUUUAUUGGGCGUAAAGAGCUCGUAGGCGGUUUGUCGCGUCGGAUGUGAAAACCCAGGGCUCAACCCUGGGCCUGCAUUCGAUACGGGGCAGACUAGAGUAUGGCAGGGGAGACUGGAAUUCCUGGUGUAGCGGUGAAAUGCGCAGAUAUCAGGAGGAACACCGGUGGCGAAGGCGGGUCUCUGGGCCAAAAACUGACGCUGGAGGAGCGAAAGCCGUGGGGAGCGAACAGG